AACGGUUCCCUAUGGGAGUGUCGCCACUCUGUUCUCUCUACCGCUCUGGUUUUGUAUAUGAGACUCGCCGUAUGGUCCCAGCAUGGAAGUUUGGGUUCUGGAGCUAGGUGGUCUAAAGUGCUGUAACGCUCAUUGAAGUCCUAACUAAACAGUUAAAGUGACUUUACCCUGUUGUGUGUGUUUAUUCACACACCUCCACCACCGCACAGCAAAAGACCCAUGCAUCCCCACCAGACAGCGGCUAGCUUCAUCACAUCGGCGCUCAGCUGCCCUCGGGUUUCCCACUAACUUCAACUCAAAUCAGUGACUGUGGACAGUGGAAAGAGCUUUGGGCUAUCAACUAAAAGGUUAAGAGUUGGAGUUCCAGCUCUGCCAUGCAACUGCUGUUGGGCCCUUGAGCAAGGCCCCUAACCGUCUUGGCUCCAGGGGUGCCGUACAAUGCCUGACCCUGCUCUCUGACCCCAGCUUCCAGACAAGCUGGGAUAUGCAAAGAAAGAAUUUUAUUGUACUGUGCAUGUUUAUAUGACAAAUAAAGCCAUUCUAUUGUA
This is a long non-coding RNA of Trichomycterus rosablanca, 548 nucleotides long. RefSeq lists it as uncharacterized. Lineage: Eukaryota; Metazoa; Chordata; Actinopteri; Siluriformes; Trichomycteridae. The transcript is spliced from 3 exons. The record is from RefSeq and is a predicted model, not a curated record.